Long non-coding RNA from Odocoileus virginianus texanus, 568 nucleotides. RefSeq lists it as uncharacterized. NCBI's taxonomy places the organism in Eukaryota, Metazoa, Chordata, Mammalia, Artiodactyla, Cervidae. The record is from RefSeq and is a predicted model, not a curated record.
GGUCCACACUCCUGCUGCACCAGCGCUUAAUAUAUUUCAAGGUUACCAUAGCACCUGCCUUCCAUUUUCCCUCCCAGGACUGCCCAGCUGCAUGGAUGCCAAUAUGGAAGGGACUGAUACGGGCACACAGUAAGUCUCGAGGCCCCAGGAGACACACGGUGCUGACCCAAGGCCCCGCCUUUCACCCGGAGUUAAUGGUGAUGGAGAAAACCCCCGUCCCUGUGUGUGAAGCUCAGGAACAGUCAGGGUGCUUGGAAGGACAGGCCACGGGAGUCUGAAAGGAAAGGGAAGAGACACAGCCAGCCUCUUCAUACAUCGGCUCCAGGACCGCGCCAGGGCAGGAUGGGGCAGGAUGAAGGCUCUAGGGUCCCCAGACGCAGCCGCUGGUGCCUAGGAGAUGCUCCACCAGCUGACACUAACCUAAGAGCAUCUGCAUUUGCAAAGUGACUUAAAGACCACCUGCUUCUCCAGCCUUUGAUCACUGAGUCUGCGCCCUGUUUGAAGCUGGUGGGAAACCGUUUCUCAUAGAAGCCCUUAUCCUCCUGUUCGGUGGUUCUUACGGUUCCCU